Rhagoletis pomonella (apple maggot) is the source of this 848-nucleotide long non-coding RNA. RefSeq lists it as uncharacterized. The record is from RefSeq and is a predicted model, not a curated record. The transcript has 3 exons. Lineage: Eukaryota; Metazoa; Arthropoda; Insecta; Diptera; Tephritidae.
GGCCGAAUCACGGCUCUCGUGAUCGAGUAAUAUUUUUCAAAAUUUUCUGUUUUGGCAUCACCGCAUUCGGGAUCGAGUAAAAUUUAUCGAAAUUUGGCAUCACCCCAUUCGAUAUCGAGCAGACGUUCGAGUAGAAUUAUUCAAAACACCAUUCGACAGUAAAUUUUGCAUCGAGAAGUGGGAAAUUAAAAUAAAACAACAAAAUGACAAACAUAAACAAAAUCAACAAAAAACAAAAAAGUAUUAUGGCGGAAUAUAUGCAGGAGCACCCGGAUUUGGCCAGAAAUAUUCUGCCAAAUUGCGCUCAAGGAAGAACCGUUGCUCAAAGAUUGUGGGAGCAACUUUCCUUAAAAUUAAAUUCUGCUGGUCCGCCUACAAAAGAACUUAAAAUGUGGUGUAAAGUAUUUGCAGACCAAAAGCAGCACGUUAAAAAGAAGCUGUCUUUUAAUAAAGCUUCUAAGCAAAAGACCGGAAGUGGGCCUUACCAAGAAAAGCUUUUGACGGCGUCCGAGGAGCUGCUGCUGCAAAAGCGAUAACGUAGCAGCUAAUUGCAAGACGGAGGGUACUGAUGUGGACAUAUGCCCCUCAAACUCAAGCUCCGAAAUCACGUACUCGAACGCAGGUUUUGACAGUCGGAAACGUUUUUUGAAUCUGCAAAUAAAGAACUUUAACGUAUGAAACAAAUACCUACUAGAAAGGUUAGAAUCAUUAAAACUUACGCUGCUGCUGGUAAACUUAAGGGAUUGCUUUUGCCACGUAAUCCUCUCCGUAUCUGCACUUGUCUGACUUCAUUAUCAGAAUAAGACGAGCUCGAAUAAAAAAAUACUGAAAUAUUCAUUUUAUAAUAA